Molecule: ribosomal RNA, 466 nt
Filed under: uncultured bacterium
Lineage: Bacteria
Description: bacterial SSU rRNA
Rfam family: Bacterial small subunit ribosomal RNA
Source: RNAcentral
AUGAACGUUGGCGGCGUGGAUUAGGCAUGCAAGUCGUACGGGUCGGUGUAGCAAUACAACGGCAAGUGGCGAAAGGGAGAGUAACGCGUAGAUACCUACCCUCUGGUCGGGGAUACCGCGGCAUAACCGCAAGUAAUACCCGAUAAAAUCUCCGGAUCAAAGGUGUGAUUCCGCCGGAGGAGGGGUCUGCGUUUCAUCAGCUUGUUGGCGAGGUAAUGGCUCACCAAGGCUAAGACGAAUACGGGGUGUGAGAGCAUGCCCCCGCUCACUGGGACUGAGACACUGCCCAGACACCUACGGGUGGCUGCAGUCGAGAAUCUUCGGCAAUGGGCGCAAGCCUGACCGAGCGACGCCGCGUGCGGGAUGAAGGCCUUCGGGUUGUAAACCGCUGUCGAGGGGGAUAAAGUGCAGGUGGGUACUCCCAUCUGUUUGAUAGAUCCCUGGAGGAAGCAUGGGCUAAGUUCGU